ACCGGAAACCGACACUUCCUGCUUUGCGAGUUUUUGCACUAAGGACCAAUGUCUCUCUUUUCAACAUCUUUGCUUAAUUUGCCAACUUUUCUUUCACUGCUGAGGAGGAAAUCGCAGCGGCGAAUUCUCGAACUAAUAAACUUAAAAGGAUAAAAGUUCUUCCAUGAAGAAAAUCUCCACAGCUGUCAAGACUGCCCACUACUCCCAACUCCAGCUGCCAAGUGGUCCUCCUGUACUGGCCCGCACAAGAGAUUUACAAAGAUGACACAGACAAAGAACACAGGGAAUCCAUCCUGAACCUGCCAGCGAGGUGGUGGUGGUGCGAAAGCCCAAAACUGUGGUGAAAAGAUGUUUGCACUCCACGCUUUACAGAGCUUUCACAGGACCACUUCCAGAUCCUGACAUCCUGGCAUCGGGAGAAAAACAGCACCAGCUGGAGUCUCAACCACUUAUCACACUUAUCCUAGAGAUGGUCUCUCAGCUUUGGAGCUGGUACCAUCCAGACUUGGUCCUGUGCCACAGGGCUCACUGAGGUCUCACCAGUGCCCACCUGAGAAGUCCUGUGUAGCAUCAUUCUGCACCACAUGGCUCCAGACCUCCCUGCUCUUCCUUCGAUGCUGCAUAGUCUUCCCAACAUGUGUUUUGUGCCCACACUUGAUCAACUUAUGCAUCUUCAGUCUCUGCAAGUGUCACAUGAAGUACAGGCCAGAACCAGGGAGCAGUCCAGAUGUCCCGCGUGGGUACAGCUUUGACAACCAAAGCUUACUGCGAGCUGUUUCCGCUUUCCGUGUUGCUUACAGAGGAAGUGCAGAGGAGGAGUCUGCUGACAGCACUGACAGCUCAGAUGAUCAGCUAACACUAAACAAUAACUGUUGAACGGGUAUGGUGUGAUGAAUGGAUUGAUGAUUGAUCAGAUGAAGUCUAAACUGGACAUGUUUUACUUCAACACCUUCAUCCAUGGUUUAUAUCAAUGCAGC
Long non-coding RNA from Nematolebias whitei (Rio pearlfish), 977 nucleotides. RefSeq lists it as uncharacterized. The transcript is spliced from 4 exons. NCBI's taxonomy places the organism in Eukaryota, Metazoa, Chordata, Actinopteri, Cyprinodontiformes, Rivulidae. The record is from RefSeq and is a predicted model, not a curated record.